This 76-nucleotide transfer RNA is filed under the name Athrotaxis laxifolia. RNAcentral describes it as "tRNA-Thr". It matches the Rfam family "tRNA". From Rfam's summary of the family: Transfer RNA (tRNA) molecules are approximately 80 nucleotides in length. Their secondary structure includes four short double-helical elements and three loops (D, anti-codon, and T loops). Lineage: Eukaryota; Viridiplantae; Streptophyta; Pinopsida; Cupressales; Cupressaceae. The record is from RNAcentral.
GCCUGCUUAGAUCAGAGGAGGUUAGAGCGUCGCACUUGUAAUGCGAUGGUCAUCGGUUCGAUCCCGAUAGCUGGCU